This 497-nucleotide ribosomal RNA is filed under the name uncultured bacterium. Its description in RNAcentral is "partial 16S ribosomal RNA". It matches the Rfam family "Bacterial small subunit ribosomal RNA", at positions 28 to 507 of the family's 1533-position model. The record is from RNAcentral.
GAUGAACGCUGGCGGCGUGCCUAAUACAUGCAAGUCGAGCGAACAGACGAGGAGCUUGCUCCUCUGACGUUAGCGGCGGACGGGUGAGUAGCACGUGGAUAACCUACCUAUAAGACUGGGAUAACUUCGGGAAACCGGAGCUAAUACCGGAUAAUAUAUUGAACCGCAUGGUUCAAUAGUGAAAGACGGUUUUGCUGUCACUUAUAGAUGGAUCCGCGCCGCAUUAGCUAGUUGGUAAGGUAACGGCUUACCAAGGCAACGAUGCGUAGCCGACCUGAGAGGGUGAUCGGCCACACUGGAACUGAGACACGGUCCUGACUCCUACGGGAGGCAGCAGUAGGGAAUCUUCCGCAAUGGGCGAAAGCUUGACGGAGCAACGCCGCGUGAGUGAUGAAGGUCUUCGGAUCGUAAAACUCUGUUAUUAGGGAAGAACAAAUGUGUAAGUAACUAUGCACGUCUUGACGGUACCUAAUCAGAAAGCCACGGCUAACUACGUG